RNAcentral lists this ribosomal RNA (578 nucleotides) under Rhizobacter sp. StTD412. Its description in RNAcentral is "bacterial SSU rRNA". It matches the Rfam family "Bacterial small subunit ribosomal RNA", at positions 102 to 676 of the family's 1533-position model. Lineage: Bacteria; Pseudomonadati; Pseudomonadota; Betaproteobacteria; Burkholderiales; Sphaerotilaceae. The record is from RNAcentral.
ACGGGUGAGUAAUACAUCGGAACGUGCCCAGUAGUGGGGGAUAGCCCGGCGAAAGCCGGAUUAAUACCGCAUACGACCUACGGGUGAAAGCGGGGGAUCGCAAGACCUCGCGCUAUUGGAGCGGCCGAUGUCAGAUUAGCUAGUUGGUGGGGUAAAAGCCUACCAAGGCGACGAUCUGUAGCUGGUCUGAGAGGACGACCAGCCACACUGGGACUGAGACACGGCCCAGACUCCUACGGGAGGCAGCAGUGGGGAAUUUUGGACAAUGGGCGCAAGCCUGAUCCAGCCAUGCCGCGUGUGGGAAGAAGGCCUUCGGGUUGUAAACCACUUUUGUCAGGGAAGAAACGGUCUGAUCUAAUAAAUCGGACUAAUGACGGUACCUGAAGAAUAAGCACCGGCUAACUACGUGCCAGCAGCCGCGGUAAUACGUAGGGUGCAAGCGUUAAUCGGAAUUACUGGGCGUAAAGCGUGCGCAGGCGGCUAUGCAAGACAGAUGUGAAAUCCCCGGGCUCAACCUGGGAACUGCAUUUGUGACUGCAUGGCUAGAGUACGGUAGAGGGGGAUGGAAUUCCGCGUGU